RNAcentral lists this ribosomal RNA (253 nucleotides) under uncultured bacterium. Its description in RNAcentral is "partial 16S ribosomal RNA". It matches the Rfam family "Bacterial small subunit ribosomal RNA", at positions 524 to 776 of the family's 1533-position model. The record is from RNAcentral. RNAcentral also lists the same sequence under 1 other name.
GACGUAGGAUGCAAGCGUUGUCCGGAAUCAUUGGGCGUAAAGCGUUCGUAGGCGGCAUGUCAAGUCUGAUGUUAAAGCCCGGAGCUCAACUCCGGUUCGGCAUUGGAUACUGGCAAGCUAGAGUGCAAUAGAGGUAGGGGGAAUUCCUAGUGUAGCGGUGAAAUGCGUAGAUAUUAGGAGGAACACCGGUGGCGAAAGCGCCCUACUGGGUUGUAACUGACGCUGAGGAACGAAAGCCAGGGUAGCAAAUGGG